This 131-nucleotide small nucleolar RNA is filed under the name Buceros rhinoceros silvestris. Its description in RNAcentral is "Small nucleolar RNA SNORA1". It matches the Rfam family "Small nucleolar RNA SNORA1". Rfam says of the family: ACA1 is a member of the H/ACA class of snoRNA that guide the sites of modification of uridines to pseudouridines. The record is from Rfam by way of RNAcentral. Lineage: Eukaryota; Metazoa; Chordata; Aves; Bucerotiformes; Bucerotidae.
UGCCUCGUUAUUCAGCAAAUCGACACAGCUCACUGUGUGUCUGAAUUGAAGACGUGGCUAGAGGAGAAACAGGUUGUGCUUUCCUCACUGUACUGAUAAUUGCAGUGGUGACAAUGAGACCUGUAACAGGU